GUAGGGAAUAUUGCGCAAUGGACGAAAGUCUGACGCAGCGACGCCGCGUGAGUGAUGAAGGCCUUAGGGUCGUAAAGCUCUGUUGAAUGGGAAGAAAAAAAUGACGGUACCAUUCGAGGAAGGACCGGCUAACUUCGUGCCAGCAGCCGCGGUAAUACGAGGGGUCCUAGCGUUGUUCGGAAUCAUUGGGCGUAAAGGGUGUGUAGGUGGCCAUGUAAGUCAGGUGUGAAAGCCCCGGGCUCAACCCGGGAAGUGCACUUGAUACUGCGUGGCUUGAGUACCGAAGAGGGUAGUGUAAUUCCAGGUGUAGUGGUGAAAUACGUAGAUAUCUGGAGGAACACCGGUGGCGAAGGCGGCUACCUGGUCGAGUACUGACACUGAGACACGAAAGCAUGGGGAUCAAACAGGAUUAGAAACCCGUGUAGUCC
This 428-nucleotide ribosomal RNA is filed under the name uncultured bacterium. RNAcentral's name for it is "partial 16S ribosomal RNA". It matches the Rfam family "Bacterial small subunit ribosomal RNA", at positions 354 to 796 of the family's 1533-position model. The record is from RNAcentral.